This is a long non-coding RNA of Mercenaria mercenaria, 1748 nucleotides long. RefSeq lists it as uncharacterized. NCBI's taxonomy places the organism in Eukaryota, Metazoa, Mollusca, Bivalvia, Venerida, Veneridae. The record is from RefSeq and is a predicted model, not a curated record. The transcript is spliced from 3 exons.
CAGAGGGGGAGCCCCUUCCAGACCCCACUAAAAUGAGGGGAGUACUCCCAAUAAAUGACACAGAGACCACCAUUUAAUCCAUACCUGUAUUUCAAAACAUUUUCCAAGUGGGGCACAUCCCUACCCCGCUAUCCUCCCUUAUGUAUCCGCUAGUAUACGCCUCUACAGUGACAUUUCAUUUUUUUUAAGACUGGCUUCUCCAAGUUAUUUUUUUCUGGAUCAGGACAAAUCGCGAGAUAUACUCUUCUAGAGUGAGGCGACUACUAAGGUUGAUCAGUGAUGAUAAAAGUAAAAUGUAUUUACCGUGAGACAAUUAACAUAAGCUUUGUAGCUUUUGAGCGACCAUACAUUAUGAACAGUUAAAGCCAAUUAUACCUUACCCCCAGCAAUUUGCUGGACACAUGGCUUGGUCGACAGAGACAAUUGUGGUAAAGUUCCAUGCUCAAGGACACAUCGAAAUGGGAGCAGCUAUUGGUUCGAACCAGGGGGCCCUCACCUCCACAGGAAAGUGUCUAAGCCUUCUCGACCAAUCGAUGAUGAUGACUUGCUAGUUUUCACAAUAAUUUUCUGAACUUACCAGAAUUAUUCUGAAAACAUCGCAUCAAAUUAUUGAUUUCAAUAUAUGUUAUUUAUUUCCAGGAAACUAGGCUAUUGAGAUUAAUAGUUCAGAAAAGUUCGAAAUAUCAAGAUAAAUGCUGAAACUCUCGCGAAAGGUACCUUGCUAAUAAGUGGUAACUGUGGGCACUUAGGACCUACGGGAAAAUAUGUAAACUAUCGCAAUACUUCCAUGAAACGUUCGACUAUUGAGAUAAUCUUUUUUUAAGAAAACUUUAUCAAGGUAUUUCUAAGCAACGACCUAGUUAUCUCGUGGCAGAAAUAUACUUCUAUACAUCUUUCAUUGCUAUCUAUUUUUAUUAUCCUUGUAGGAUUUCCAAAUGUAGUCGGGGUAGUGGACGGUACGCAGAUCCGGAUUCAAGGGCCGACGGAACAUGAAGAAGAUUACGUAAACAGGAAAGGCUUCCACUCGAUAAAUGUUCAAAUGGUAUGUGACGCAAGAUUCAUGAUUUUGGAUGUUGUUGCAAAAUGGCCCGAAAGUAUGCAUGAUUCAAGGAUAUUCCGAGACAGCGAAGUGGGCGGGCGAUUAGAAAGAGGUGAGAUCGACGGUUUGUUGCUGGGGGACUCUGGAUAUCCCUGUAGAAAGUAUUUGAUGACCCCAUACCAUGCUCCACAAACACAAGCACAGGUACUCGGAUUUUAUUAUUUUUAUUCAACUCGUUUGAUAAAUUUAAUAUGAAAUGACACUCAUAUAAUACCCCACCCUCUUUCAUGCAGAUGAAAAAAUUCGAGUUGCUCGUUUUUCUGUGUUUUUCAGUACAACAUAAAAUAAGUACUAUUCCCAAAUAUGAUAUGUAUAAACAUAACUAUAGAUAGAUUUAAAUUCAACAUUGUUUUACCUUGUCAAUAUCUAAAUCUAUGUAGUUUUUGUACUAAUUACAAUUUAUGUUAUACGUAAAGCUUAUUGUUUACGGUCAACGGAUCUGUUGCUGUGUGGGUACGAAAGUCAUCGAUGACAGUCAAUUGUCAUUUGCAAUUUAGCAUCGAAAAUGCAGAUUUCUUUAUUGUAUUACACAACUACGGAGAAAUAUCUGAAGCCGAUAUGUCAUAAUAUUAUGGGUACUUUGGUAUAAUAUUAAAACAUAUAUUUUGCUCAAAUUCCAUUGAAAAAAUGCAGGCACCAUUGCAGACAC